UCCCGAUUAGCUCAGUUGGUUAGAGCGUGGUGCUAAUAUAACCCUUGAGUUAACGCCAAGGUCAGCGGUUCGACCCCGCUAUUGGGAA
Glarea lozoyensis ATCC 20868 is the source of this 88-nucleotide transfer RNA. It matches the Rfam family "tRNA". Rfam says of the family: Transfer RNA (tRNA) molecules are approximately 80 nucleotides in length. The record is from Rfam. NCBI's taxonomy places the organism in Eukaryota, Fungi, Ascomycota, Leotiomycetes, Helotiales, Helotiaceae.